Peromyscus maniculatus bairdii (prairie deer mouse) is the source of this 404-nucleotide non-coding RNA. Lineage: Eukaryota; Metazoa; Chordata; Mammalia; Rodentia; Cricetidae. The record is from RefSeq and is a predicted model, not a curated record.
CUCCCUUCUUUGGAAGCUUGUAUGGUGCCUUCUGAUACCAAAAAGAUAAUUCUCAGGGAGGGGCCAUUCAGUUCUCAUCCAGGAAAUUAAUUAAGAUUUUAUGAGAAGGAUGAAAUCAAAAGGGAAAGAAAGAAAGGACUCAGUGAUUCUCAGAAAUUGUUAUGGCAUCUGGAAAAAUGGAAGAAAGUAAUACUCAGAGUGAGGCUGUGGAAAAAUCCAAUCAAUCCUAUGGGUUGAGGAAUCAGCUAUUCGAGGAGAGAAAACCACUCAGCCAGAGUUCAAAGCACACGCUUUUCCUACCAAAUGAAAAGGAUGUACUUCAUUUAGUGUAAAAGAAGAUUAAAGACAACAUGGUAAACAUGUUAAACACAACUGGAGUUCUCUACCCCUCCAAAGACUGAGAA